GGGGUGCGACCUUGAAAUGCUCAUCAAAUUGCUGGCUCCAUGUUGCCUCUCCACUGUCAUCAUACUUGUCUGCAUCAAGAAUAGUGUAGGCACUGCUGCUGGGGGAGGGGCGCCGGUUGAGCUCCGUCGGGCAGCACUUCGAGCUGCUAUAAAAAUAUCAUGAUCAUCUUUUGGUGAAUACAAAGAUGUUUGUAACCUCAUAAGCAGAGCUCUGUACUGCUGCUUGUAUAUUGAGAGAUACUACAGGAAUUUAUACACUCAUAGCUUAUCUUUCUGAUAACUGUCAUGCAUAUAUUUCAACUAAAUUAUGGUUAUUGUUUAUGUUUGUCAAACUAAGCCAUUGAUAGGAUAAUCAAAAGUAGUUGUUGAUUGACAAAGCUAGACAACUUACAGACAUUAUACCAGCUAGGAAUUUAUUGAUGGGACAAAAUUAUGUCAUGGUUUAUAUACAGGUGAUCGAUACUUCAGGUAGCUCACUACUUGAUUCCAUAGAUCAUACACUAACAAUUUUUCUUUGGAUACAGCAAGGAUCAUACCCCACCCACGCGGCGGCACGACGCAGAAGGGCUACAUGGGUUAAUAGCGGCGUGUGCAAUGGAAGGACGCCUACGAGAACAAGCUCGCCGAGGUCUUGGAAUUCCAACCUAGGUAAACAAGUGAGCUCACUUUAACAGUUUACCCUUUUUUGGUGAUGUGGGCUAACUCAUUAAUUAAGGGCUACUCAGCUCUGUAUUUUUCUCUCUUUGGUAAUAGAAAUCCCCCUACAUCGCCUCUGUUCGAUUUUGGUAGCUAUCCUUGUUCUAGAUCAUAGGGUUGUCAUCUUCAUAUGUCAUAUGAUAUAUAAUUGAUGCAAAUUGCA
RNAcentral lists this long non-coding RNA (859 nucleotides) under Triticum aestivum (bread wheat). RNAcentral's name for it is "long non-coding RNA (TAES_LNC012529)". The record is from RNAcentral. Lineage: Eukaryota; Viridiplantae; Streptophyta; Magnoliopsida; Poales; Poaceae.